This is a long non-coding RNA of Helianthus annuus (common sunflower), 1572 nucleotides long. RefSeq lists it as uncharacterized. The record is from RefSeq and is a predicted model, not a curated record. NCBI's taxonomy places the organism in Eukaryota, Viridiplantae, Streptophyta, Magnoliopsida, Asterales, Asteraceae. The transcript is spliced from 8 exons.
UUUAUACCAUAAUAAAAGUUUCCCGCUUGCCACAAAAAGUUCUAAAAUUCCCUCCUUGAUAUUUCCUCCCAUACUAAAAUUCAUCUAGCAAACAUCAAAUUCUUAGUCGCUUCCACCCCCACCGUGAAAACCCUAAACUGCCUGGAGGGUUCGCAUAUAUCGUCAUCAUCAAAUUGUAUACACCUGUGGGAUGUUUCCAGUUCAAGAUUUUUGAGCCAAACGGGCAACAACGGUUUUGGAUAAACCUAUGCUAAACCGGCCAAUGGUUUGGCGGUUCCAUUUUGACGGUUUGGUGGUCAAAGCAGUUCGGUAUUGAGGGUUUUGGCUCACCAUUUUUUUUUUGCUUUUUAAAAACUAAUCGUGCUUUUCUUCAAGUUGUAUAUGAAAACUUUAUAGAAUUGAAAAACAAACUAUUGAAAUAAUCUAACAUAAUCUUGUGUACUGAUGAAUCUCUAUAAUACAUACAACAAUUAAGGAACUGUGCAGAAUAUGAAUACGUUCUCAUUUAUUUUAAGAAUAUAUAUUUUUAUAUUGUGUGUUUUGCUAAUUAUUUAUAGGAGUUCACCAGAAGAGUGGAAGAUUUAAAGGUGGAUCUAAUUUACUCAAUACUCAUAUAAUGAUCUUACUCGGUUACUUUGUGAAACCAGGUAGCAAAAGAUCACGGGUUUGAACAAGUAUUUCUCAUGCUCACUUCUAGGUCAAAAGCUGACUUUGAACCGCAGGUACGUACUUAGAAGCUUCAAGAAAGCAUUUGUACUAGAUUUCAACCCUCAUCUGGCUCCCCCAAUGUGGAGACAGCUGCAAGGAGCAGCAACGCAGGUAGCAUUAUCAAAACUAUGGAACGGUUGGAAUAGGAGAACCCAUGGAAAUUCGAGUACCUAGCAGGCGUUCACUGUUUAGAAGUCUUAGCUUAUUUGCUUCCGCUGUGCAAUGAAGAUACCGGUCCAGUCACGCCAGCUCUGAUAUUUCGGGGUGUGACACUCGCGUCGGGCAUGUUUCACAUAGUGUAGUUCUUGAGACAUUCGGCGUAGGAGAGCAAGAUGAAGGCGGCAGUCCAGAUGUAAAUCAGGUGAUUGGGGCAGUUCUUAAUUUCUUUGGGCAGGGCCUCAUCGCUGGUACCAGCACAACGCAACCACACAAGCAGGUGGCUUUUUUACCAAACAAGAUAUUAAGAGCCUACUAUGUUUACAGGUGAUGGCAAUUCCGACAACCAGGGGAAUUGAAAAAACCACCCAAUCUUUUAGCUGAAGAGCUUAAAGUGAUGUCAAAAGAAGUUGAGUAUAGUCAGUUAGUUGGUUGAUGUAGCGACAAUAUGAGUAUAGUCAGUUGGCUGAUGUAGCGACAAUAAUUAGCAAGUGUUGGGAACUAUGAAGUGGAAAUAUUACUACUAAGAAAACAUUAACACGAUGAUUAUUUAACUCGCAUGAAGAUUGUGAAAGAGAUUCAUGAACACUAUGAAGUUUUGAGUUUUUAUUCAUACACUUAGUUUAUUUGGGUUAUAUGUUUGAUCAUUACACAUAGAUCGGCACUUAUUAGACAUUUGGAAUCUUUGGAAGAUUGAUUGAACUUUUA